This 477-nucleotide ribosomal RNA is filed under the name uncultured bacterium. RNAcentral's name for it is "bacterial SSU rRNA". It matches the Rfam family "Bacterial small subunit ribosomal RNA", at positions 365 to 832 of the family's 1533-position model. The record is from RNAcentral.
UUCGCAAUGCCCGAAAGGGUGACGAAGCGACGCCGCGUGCGGGAAGAAGGCCUUCGGGUUGUAAACCGCUGUCGGGAGUUAAGAAAUGCAAGGGUGUUAAUAGUAUCCUUGCUUGACUAAGGCUCCGGAGGAAGCCACGGCUAACUCUGUGCCAGCAGCCGCGGUAAUACAGAGGCGGCAAGCGUUGUUCGGAAUUAUUGGGCGUAAAGGGCACGUAGGCGGCUGUGUAAGUCGGUUGUGAAAGCCUUCCGCUCAACGGGAGAACGGCAUCCGAUACUGCAUGGCUUGAGUGCGGGAGGGGAGAGUGGAACUUCUGGUGGAGCGGUGAAAUGCGUAGAUAUCAGAAGGAACACCGGCGGCGAAGGCGACUCUCUGGCCCGUAACUGACGCUGAGUGUGCGAAAGCUAGGGGAGCAAACGGGAUUAGAUACCCCGGUAGUCCUAGCCGUAAACGAUGGGCACUAAGUAGAGGGGUUUU